RNAcentral lists this ribosomal RNA (440 nucleotides) under uncultured bacterium. RNAcentral describes it as "partial 16S ribosomal RNA". It matches the Rfam family "Bacterial small subunit ribosomal RNA", at positions 338 to 795 of the family's 1533-position model. The record is from RNAcentral.
CCUACGGGUGGCAGCAGUGGGGGAUAUUGCACAAUGGGGGGAACCCUGAUGCAGCGACGCCGCGUGGGUGAAGAAGCGCCUCGGCGCGUAAAGCCCUGUCAGCAGGGAAGAAAAUGACGGUACCUGAAGAAGAAGCCCCGGCUAACUACGUGCCAGCAGCCGCGGUAAUACGUAGGGGGCAAGCGUUAUCCGGAUUUACUGGGUGUAAAGGGGGCGCAGACGGCGAUGCAAGCCAGGAGUGAAAGCCCGGGGCCCAACCCCGGGACUGCUCUUGGAACUGCGUGGCUGGGGUGCAGGAGGGGCAGGCGGAAUUCCUGGGGUAGCCGGUAAAAGCGGAGAAAUCAGGAAGGACACCGGUGGCGAAGGCGGCCUGUUGGACUGCAACUGACGUUGAGGCCCGAAAGCGUGGGGAGCAAACAGGAUUAGAUACCCCAGUAGUC